RNAcentral lists this long non-coding RNA (4972 nucleotides) under Sus scrofa (pig). Its description in RNAcentral is "lncRNA (ENSSSCG00005039397.1)". Lineage: Eukaryota; Metazoa; Chordata; Mammalia; Artiodactyla; Suidae. The record is from RNAcentral.
GUGCCCAGGCUAAAGGUCUAAUCGGAGCUGCAACUGCCGGCCUGCGCCACAGCCACAGCCACACAGGAUCCGAGCCGCGUCUGCGACCUACACCCCAGCUCACGGCAACGCCGGAUCCCUGACCCUAGUAUUUGGACUUUAACUUCAAAAAAGGAACAGGAGUUCCCUGGCAGCCUAGUAGUUGAGGAUCGGGUGUGCGCUGCUGUGGCGCAGGUUCCAACCCUGGCGGCAGGUGCAGCCCAAGAAGAAACGGCACAUGACUUGAUUGGGAUCGACCUCACCUACCGAGCGUGAGAGGCCAGGCGCCGAGGCCCGCCCUUCCUCCCCGCGCCUGGCACCUGCCCUGCGUCGGGAGCUGCAGAGGCAGGAUGGGCCACACACGAGUCCGUUCACGACCACGCUGUGGGGUUCCAUUCCCCGUGCAAGGGCCACCCGGGUCGUCUUUUGUGCACCUAGGGGAACCGGAGGCUCCCCUGUGAACGCCUUUCUGGGGGUUCUGGACAGUGUCCGCCUGUGGGAACGUGUCAACCAAACAGGACUAAGCAAAAGCAGAGAGCACACGGCAGAGGUGACUGUGGUGACACAGAAUUACGUUUGUGGGGGGAGGGGCGGGUUCCGAGGCUGCCCCGGCGACGGCCUUCCCCAGGAUGGGCCUCUUCCUCGCCGUCCACUGGGUUACAUGAAGUGAACGAGGGGCGGGGAGCGGGCUGCGCCUCUGCCGGCCCGCCCCCCGCCCUGCCGGACGCACAGGGGGCUCUGCUGCUCGACGGGAAACGGCUCCGGUGACCACUGGGUGGAAGCACAGGUAGGACAGGAGCGGGGAGCAGAAGGUGGGUGUGCUAGGUGAAGGACCGAAAGAAUGUGUAAGUACGUACACACACACACACACACCCCAGCCAGCCCGGAGGCCGGAAACCCAGGGGAGCCAAAGUUGCAGUUCAAAUGCAAAGGCAGGACAAAGGCCUGGGGAGCCUCUCUUAGCCCCAGGAGAGGAUGCCGGCCGUCAGCUGCUUAGGUGAGGCCCACCCCGUUGAGGAGGCCAGUGGGCUUUAUGCAGUCUAUGGCUUUAAAUGGUAACCGUCACAGGAGUUUAGAUGAGAACCCCUCCAUGGGUCAGAUGGUUCAGGAGCGAAAAGCAGGAGGACAAAAAGCCAGGAGAGCACCACUCAUUCAUUCAUUCACUCCUUCUUCUCUGGGGGUCGAAUAUUCGCAAUGGUUCUGCCCAUUGUCUGCCCUGAGGUACUUGUGUACCCGGCACACAGUAGGUGUUUAAUUAGUGCAUGCCUUCAGUUCAAAAUGACCUUGACAUUUCCUACCUGCUCCCCACACCCUGUUUUGUUUCCCUGCAGGUGACAGAGAAGCUUCCGGUGCCCUCCGUGGAGUCUGUGGCUGGGGACCAGCUGCCCCCCGUACCACUUCUGUCGUCAAAGUCAUCGGGAAAAAGCUUCCUCCCUGCUGUGCCUGCGGCCUCGAAGAUAAGACCCAGCCUCAGUUUUCACGCAGAUGAGACCACGCACCACGCGCCGGAGGUCAGCUUCACCUUCCCCAGCGCCACCUGGCAGAGCAGCACAGGCCCCAGCAGGGCGCCCCUCCGGCCCCGGGACAUCCGAGGGUCUACAGACAGCGGAGGCCGACGGCACAGCCCACUGCCCCCUGGCCACCCCCGCAAGCACCAGGGUGGCAGCGCCCAGUGGCCGAGGAGACCAAAGUAAAGAUGGCAGCAAGCAGAGUGCCACUGUCACGCUGAGGGAAGGUCCGAGAAGCUGAUCUCGGUACCAGGGUCUCUCUGCCUGGAAGCUGAGUUUGAGAGCCGGGGGAUCCAGCAGGGACGCUCCGGGGCAGCCCGCCCUUCGCCCAGCUUCCUGCAGCCCUUUGCACCAGGCCUGGUGUCUGCCUCACGCCACCUUCAGAAGAAGAAUGUCCACUGGGCAGUGGCAGAGCCCUUCCCAAGGACCUCAGGCCCAUUUGGGGUCAUUCCCAGGCCUGGGUGCUCUUUCCAGGACCACCCACCCCCCGCCGUGGCCUCUGCUCUGGGAGAAGCUGGGACACGUCGCCCUUCAGGUCCGGCUCAGGCUGAGGAAGCCACUGGGGACACCUGGGCGGCUGCCGGCAAGAGGCAGGGAGGAAUCAUUUGUCCCCAACGCCAUGUGUUAGUAGAGGUUCUCCAGAAAAAGGGAACCAAAGUUGUGUGUGUGUGUGUGUGUGUGUGUGUGUGUGUGUGUGUGUGCGCGUGCGCACGCACUGCCCAAGACAGGGAGGAAAGAGAUUUCCUUGAAGAGAUGGGCGUAUUGGCUGUGGGNNNNNNNNNNNNNNNNNNNNNNNNNNNNNNNNNNNNNNNNNNNNNNNNNNNNGGCUGCCACUGUGUCCCCCAGUCGGGAGCAGAGGGCCCCCCUCCUCAGGUGACCUCAGCCUUUCUUCUCUGUCCGCCUUCACCUGGCUGGCUGAGGCCCACCCACAUCACACAGGCUGAUCUGCUUUUACUCAAAGUCUCCUCACGUUUAAUCUCAAGACAAAGAGCACACGCUAUCACUCAGAGGCGGAAUCUAAAAUGUGGCCCAGAGGAACCUACGUACAGAACAGACACAGGCUCACAGACAUGGGGGGCACACUUGCGGUUGCCCAGGGGGAGGGGGAGGGAGCGGGAUGGACGCAGCGUUUGGGGCUCCUACCCGCAACCUGUUGCACUGAGAUGGAUGAGCAAUGAGGUCCUGCUGUAUCGCCCAGGGAAUUACAGCCACUUACUGGUGACAGAACACGAUGGAAGAGGACAUGGGAAAAAGAAGGUGUAUCUAUGUCACACUGGGUCACCGUGCUGUGCAGCAGCAGCUGACAGAACUUUGUAAAUCAACCAUACUCGAAUCAAAAAAAUCUUUGGAACUCCAUCUCAUCUAAAGACUACCUUCCCAGCAACAUCUGGACCGGCGUUUGAUCAAACCUCUGGGUCUCGUGGGCCUGGCCAGGUCGAUGCGUCCAGUUAACCCUCUCGCUCCAUGGCUGGCCUGCAGAGUGACACUCGUCACAGCAUACGUGGGCUCCCAGGGAAACGCAGGAACACGGUCCCAUUUCCAUGACCCAGCCACCCGCCACCACAGCGCUCUAAUGUCCCUCUCAGCACCCCUGAUGCAGGGAGGAAGGUGCUGCUAACUGUUGGGAACAAGACACAUGAAACCAGCCGUGUAAACUGGGGACCCAACACUAAGGCUCCAGUUGCAUUAGGAUUGUAUAUGCUUCCGUCAUUUUCCAUCAAGACAGGAAAAAACAAAACAGAAAAACUCUGAGCACCAUCCUGUGUCAGGGGGAUCGUCACCUCCUCUGGUUGUGCUUUUGGCCCUUGCCGUCAUUUUCAAACUGGCGCCUCAUCCCUUGCUUUCAGGGCCCCCUUGUUUGAAGGCCAUUGGGAGCCACACCCCCAGGUGGCAGAAGUCACGCUGGGCAGAGCAGGUCAGGGCUGGGAGGGGGAGGUGGCCUCGUGGUCUUGCGGCCCUGGUGGAGCCUGGGCAUCUUUGCCCCCGUGUGGGCCUGGCCUGUGGUAGGCACACUGCACACAGGCACUGUCGCCUGGCCGCCUCCCAUAAUGCCUGCUGUCACGGAAGACAUGCUAGGGGCUUCCUCGAAGCCGUGUUUUCCUUUCUGGAGGCGUGUGUGGCAGUGGGAGUGGGGCCCAUUUAUCCUCAGCGGCUCUGCUGCCCACUGUGCUGCCUACCUGCCAUACGCGCACCACCCUCAUUGAAGCGCCAAGGCCGCCUGGGGAGGGACACCUUCUGCUCUCUGGUGCUGGCCCCAGCUCCUGGGAAGGGCAGGAAUUCCCGAUUGCCCCCUUUUAUCUGCUCUUUUUUGUCCAUGAGAACAGAACCCCAAUUUUCAGCUGACCACAGCUCCCAAAAAUCUCCAUUCCCCAGCCUCCUUUGUGGCUGUGUAUGGCCAUGUGACUAAGUUCUGCUUGAUGGAAUAUAAGCCAGAGUGGCUGCUUCCUGGACUUUUUAUCAUAAAGGAUAAUGAGCAUGUCCCCCGUGCCUCUUCACUUCCUCAAUCCUACCACCUGGAAGUUGAAUGUGAUGGCUGGAACUCUAGCCACCAUUUUGGGGCCAUGAGGGCAAAGGCUACACCCUGCAGAGAAUGGAGUGGGAAGCUGAAAGGAGCCUGGGUCCUCUGGGAGCAGAGGUGUCUCUCAGCAUUGCUCCAUCCUACUUCCAGACUUUAGCCCGAGAGAGAAAUAAACAUCCCCCUGAAGCCACUGUGGUUGGUGCACCUCAUCUUAUGUGACACACGAGGGAAGCUCAGGCAGUUGGCAACUCAUGGCUGGAGAAGAUUCUGGUGCUUUAGUGGAGCAGCAGUGAGGGAUCAGAGAUGCAGGGCAGAGGACGAGGCAUGGGGGUUGAGUUCAGCCCCUGGGGUGGUGGGAGAAAAGCAGAAACUCCCAGUCUUUGUAUACCCUGUCUUGAGUUGGGUGAGACCGUUGGCCAGGAAAGACAGCUGGUGGAUUCUGAGGACGGGAGUCUUCACCAUGAGGCUGUAAAGUGACCUGUGCCUUAGAAGUUGCAAACUUUUCUUUUCCAAAUUACCAACAGGUGCAAACCUGAGCUUGUAAUGCACGCAUUUUGUAACUGUUAGUUCUUUUGACCGUGGCAUCAAACUGCCUUCAGCAGCUUCACCUGGUGCCGCCGCCUCCUCCUCCUCCGUCGGCCAGCGCCCUAGGAGUGCCUGGAUGGGCAGCCUCCUUGGCCCGGCCACUCUGCUCCGCGCUGAGGGCUUGGCUGCAGCUCUGAAGCCCCGCUCAUCAUGACUGGGAUUGCUCUCUGAGUUUGGGGUUUCCCACGGUACAAUGGGGCACACUGACAGCAAGCUCUGCAAGGUGGCAGAGCUGGAUUCCAUGCUUACCAUACACGCAGGGCAAAGGGAGGCUUAACGUUACACUGGAAAACCUCUCGCAUCACCUACACUGAAUGCCUACAUCAUUAAAUAAACCUACGUU